GAUGAACGCUGGCGGCGUGCCUAAUACAUGCAAGUCGAGCGAACGUACGAGAAGCUUGCUUUUCUGAUGUUAGCGGCGGACGGGUGAGUAACACGUGGAUAACCUACCUAUAAGACUGGGAUAACUUCGGGAAACCGGAGCUAAUACCGGAUAAUAUUUUGAACCGCAUGGUUCAAAAGUGAAAGACGGUAUUGCUGUCACUUAUAGAUGGAUCCGCGCUGCAUUAGCUAGUUGGUAAGGUAACGGCUUACCAAGGCAACGAUGCAUAGCCGACCUGAGAGGGUGAUCGGCCACACUGGAACUGAGACACGGUCCAGACUCCUACGGGAGGCAGCAGUAGGGAAUCUUCCGCAAUGGGCGAAAGCCUGACGGAGCAACGCCGCGUGAGUGAUGAAGGUCUUCGGAUCGUAAAACUCUGUUAUUAGGGAAGAACAUAUGUGUAAGUAACUGUGCACAUCUUGACGGUACCUAAUCAGAAAGCCACGGCUAACUACGUG
RNAcentral lists this ribosomal RNA (497 nucleotides) under uncultured bacterium. RNAcentral's name for it is "partial 16S ribosomal RNA". It matches the Rfam family "Bacterial small subunit ribosomal RNA", at positions 28 to 507 of the family's 1533-position model. The record is from RNAcentral.